RNAcentral lists this ribosomal RNA (433 nucleotides) under uncultured bacterium. RNAcentral describes it as "partial 16S ribosomal RNA". It matches the Rfam family "Bacterial small subunit ribosomal RNA", at positions 29 to 507 of the family's 1533-position model. The record is from RNAcentral.
AACGAACGCUGGCGGCAUGCCUAACACAUGCAAGUCGAACGAGACCUUCGGGUCUAGUGGCGCACGGGUGCGUAACGCGUGGGAACCUGCCCUUAGGUUCGGAAUAACUCCCCGAAAGGGGUGCUAAUACCGGAUAAUGUCUUCGGACCAAAGAUUUAUCGCCUUUGGAUGGGCCCGCGUUGGAUUAGCUAGUUGGUAGGGUAAAAGCCUACCAAGGCGACGAUCCAUAGCUGGUCUGAGAGGAUGAUCAGCCACACUGGGACUGAGACACGGCCCAGACUCCUACGGGAGGCAGCAGUGGGGAAUAUUGGACAAUGGGCGAAAGCCUGAUCCAGCAAUGCCGCGGGAGUGAUGAAGGCCUUAGGGUUGUAAAGCUCUUUUACCCGGGAUGAUAAUGACAGUACCGGGAGAAUAAGCACCGGCUAACUACGUG